UACAGAGGGUGCAAGCGUUAAUCGGAAUUACUGGGCGUAAAAGCGUGCGUAGACGGUUUAUGUAAGUCAGGUGUGAAAAGCCCCAGGGGCUCAAACCCUUUGGGAAAUUUGCAUUUUGAGACUGCAUAGCUAGGGGUGCGGAAAGAGGGGAAAGCGGGAAAUUUCCCUAGUGUAGAGGUGAAAAAUUUCGUAGAUAUUUAGGGAAAGAAACACCCAGUG
RNAcentral lists this ribosomal RNA (219 nucleotides) under uncultured bacterium. Its description in RNAcentral is "partial 16S ribosomal RNA". It matches the Rfam family "Bacterial small subunit ribosomal RNA", at positions 524 to 715 of the family's 1533-position model. The record is from RNAcentral.